ACUACGGGAGGCAGCAGUGAGGAAUAUUGGUCAAUGGGCUUACGCCUGAACCAGCCAAGUCGCGUGAGGGAAGACUGCCCUAUGGGUUGUAAACCUCUUUUGUCAGGGAGCAACGCCGGCUACGUGUAGCCGGCCUGAGAGGACCUGAAGAAAAAGCAUCGGCUAACUCCGUGCCAGCAGCCGCGGAAAUACGGAGGAUGCGAGCGUUAUCCGGAUUUAUGUGGGUUAAAGGGUGCGUAGGCGGAAUGCCAAGUCAGCGGUAAAAUCGCGGGGCUCAACCUCGCUCCGCCGUUGAAACUGGCGUUCUGGCGGGGGCGAGAAGUAUGCGGAAUGCGUGGUGUAGCGGUGAAAUGCAUAGAUAUCACGCAGAACUCCGAUUGCGAAGGCAGCAUACCGGCGCCCAACUGACGCUGCCGCACGAACGCGUGGGUAUCGAACAGGAUUAGAUACCCCUGUAGUC
RNAcentral lists this ribosomal RNA (460 nucleotides) under uncultured bacterium. RNAcentral's name for it is "partial 16S ribosomal RNA". It matches the Rfam family "Bacterial small subunit ribosomal RNA", at positions 338 to 795 of the family's 1533-position model. The record is from RNAcentral.